AAUGGGCGAAAGCCUGAUGCAGCAACGCCGCGUGAGUGAUGAAGGCCUUCGGGUCGUAAAACUCUGUCCUCAAGGAAGAUAAUGACGGUACUUGAGGAGGAAGCCCCGGCUAACUACGUGCCAGCAGCCGCGGUAAUACGUAGGGGGCUAGAGUUAUCCGGAAUUACUGGGCGUAAAGGGUGCGUAGGCGGUUUAUCAAGUCAGGGGUGAAAGGCUACGGCUCAACCGUAGUUAGCCUCUGAAACUGGUGAACUUGAGUGUAGGAGAGGAAAGUGGAAUUCCCUGUGUAGCGGUGAAAUGCGUAGAUAUUGGGAGGAACACCAGUGGCGAAGGCGACUUUCUGGACUACAACUGACGCUGAGGCACGAAAGCGUGGGGAGCAAA
Molecule: ribosomal RNA, 384 nt
Filed under: uncultured bacterium
Lineage: Bacteria
Description: bacterial SSU rRNA
Rfam family: Bacterial small subunit ribosomal RNA
Source: RNAcentral